RNAcentral lists this ribosomal RNA (253 nucleotides) under uncultured bacterium. RNAcentral's name for it is "partial 16S ribosomal RNA". It matches the Rfam family "Bacterial small subunit ribosomal RNA", at positions 524 to 776 of the family's 1533-position model. The record is from RNAcentral.
UACGUAGGGGGCAAGCGUUGUCCGGAAUCAUUGGGCGUAAAGCGCGUGUAGGCGGCCCGGUAAGUCCGCUGUGAAAGUCGGGGGCUCAACCCUUGAAUGCCGGCCGAUACUGUCAGGCUAGAGUCCGGAAGAGGCGAGUGGAAUUCCUGGUGUAGCGGUGAAAUGCGCAGAUAUCAGGAGGAACACCUAUGGCGAAGGCAGCUCGCUGGGACGGUACUGACGCUGAGACGCGAAAGCGUGGGGAGCGAACAGG